AAACCGGAGGAAGGUGGGGAUGACGUCAAGUCAUCAUGGCCCUUACGGCCUGGGCUACACACGUGCUACAAUGGUCGGUACAAAGGGUUGCCAAGCCGCGAGGUGGAGCUAAUCCCAUAAAACCGAUCGUAGUCCGGAUCGCAGUCUGCAACUCGACUGCGUGAAGUCGGAAUCGCUAGUAAUCGUGAAAUCAGAAUGUCACGGUGAAUACGUUCCCGGGCCUU
This 224-nucleotide ribosomal RNA is filed under the name uncultured Pseudomonas sp. RNAcentral's name for it is "partial 16S ribosomal RNA". It matches the Rfam family "Bacterial small subunit ribosomal RNA", at positions 1160 to 1382 of the family's 1533-position model. The record is from RNAcentral. Lineage: Bacteria; Pseudomonadati; Pseudomonadota; Gammaproteobacteria; Pseudomonadales; Pseudomonadaceae.